RNAcentral lists this ribosomal RNA (634 nucleotides) under Udeniomyces megalosporus. Its description in RNAcentral is "LSU rRNA". It matches the Rfam family "Eukaryotic large subunit ribosomal RNA", at positions 34 to 654 of the family's 3401-position model. Lineage: Eukaryota; Fungi; Basidiomycota; Tremellomycetes; Cystofilobasidiales; Mrakiaceae. The record is from RNAcentral.
UUAAGCAUAUCAAUAAGCGGAGGAAAAGAAACUAACAAGGAUUCCCCUAGUAACGGCGAGUGAAGCGGGAUGAGCUCAAAUUUAAAAUCUGGCAGUCUAAGAUUGUCCGAGUUGUAGUCUAGAGAAGCGUUUUCCGCGUAGGCCUGUGUACAAGUCCCUUGGAAUAGGGCGUCAUAGAGGGUGAGAAUCCCGUCCUUGACACAGAUCAUCUAUGCUUUGCGAUGCGCUCUCGAAGAGUCGAGUUGUUUGGGAAUGCAGCUCAAAAUGGGUGGUAAAUUCCAUCUAAAGCUAAAUAUUGGCGAGAGACCGAUAGCGAACAAGUACCGUGAGGGAAAGAUGAAAAGCACUUUGGAAAGAGAGUUAAACAGUACGUGAAAUUGUUGAAAGGGAAACGAUUGAAGUCAGUCAUGUGGUUCGAGAUUCAGCCGGUUCUGCCGGUGUAUUUCUCGAGCUACAGGCCAGCAUCAGUUUCGACCGGUGGAAAAAGUUGGAGGGAACGUGGCAUCCUCGGAUGUGUUAUAGCCCUCUUUCAGAUGCAUCGGACGGGACUGAGGAACGCAGCGUGCCUUUAUGGUCGGUCUUCGGACACGAACGCGCUUAGGAUGCUGGCAUAAUGGCUUUAAACGACCCGUCU